Molecule: ribosomal RNA, 602 nt
Filed under: Saccharomyces cerevisiae (brewer's yeast)
Lineage: Eukaryota; Fungi; Ascomycota; Saccharomycetes; Saccharomycetales; Saccharomycetaceae
Description: eukaryotic LSU rRNA
Rfam family: Eukaryotic large subunit ribosomal RNA
Source: RNAcentral
AAAAAGCGGAGGAAAAGAAACCAUACCGGGAUUGCCUUAGUAACGGCGAGUGAAGCGGCAAAAGCUCAAAUUUGAAAUCUGGUACCUUCGGUGCCCGAGUUGUAAUUUGGAGAGGGCAACUUUGGGGCCGUUCCUUGUCUAUGUUCCUUGGAACAGGACGUCAUAGAGGGUGAGAAUCCCGUGUGGCGAGGAGUGCGGUUCUUUGUAAAGUGCCUUCGAAGAGUCGAGUUGUUUGGGAAUGCAGCUCUAAGUGGGUGGUAAAUUCCAUCUAAAGCUAAAUAUUGGCGAGAGACCGAUAGCGAACAAGUACAGUGAUGGAAAGAUGAAAAGAACUUUGAAAAGAGAGUGAAAAAGUACGUGAAAUUGUUGAAAGGGAAGGGCAUUUGAUCAGACAUGGUGUUUUGUGCCCUCUGCUCCUUGUGGGUAGGGGAAUCUCGCAUUUCACUGGGCCAGCAUCAGUUUUGGUGGCAGGAUAAAUCCAUAGGAAUGUAGCUUGCCUCGGUAAGUAUUAUAGCCUGUGGGAAUACUGCCAGCUGGGACUGAGGACUGCGACGUAAGUCAAGGAUGCUGGCAUAAUGGUUAUAUGCCGCCCGUCUUGAAAC